AUUGAACGCUGGCGGCAGGCCUAACACAUGCAAGUCGAGCGGAUGAAGGGAGCUUGCUCCUGGAUUCAGCGGCGGACGGGUGAGUAAUGCCUAGGAAUCUGCCUGGUAGUGGGGGAUAACGUCCGGAAACGGGCGCUAAUACCGCAUACGUCCUGAGGGAGAAAGUGGGGGAUCUUCGGACCUCCCGCUAUCAGAUUAGCCUAGGUCGGAUUAGUUAGUUGGUGGGGUAAAGGCCUACCAAGGCGACGAUCCGUAACUGGUCUGAAAGGAUGAUCAGUCACACUGGAACUGAGACACGGUCCAGACUCCUACGGGAGGCAGCAGUGGGGAAUAUUGGACAAUGGGCGAAAGCCUGAUCCAGCCAUGCCGCGUGUGUGAAGAAGGUCUUCGGAUUGUAAAGCACUUUAAGUUGGGAGGAAGGGCAGUAAGUUAAUACCUUGCUGUUUUGACGUUACCAACAGAAUAAGCACCGGCUAACUUCGUG
Molecule: ribosomal RNA, 484 nt
Filed under: uncultured bacterium
Lineage: Bacteria
Description: partial 16S ribosomal RNA
Rfam family: Bacterial small subunit ribosomal RNA
Source: RNAcentral